UGGAUCCAGACUUUGAUCAUGGCUCAGGACGAACGCUGGCGGCACGCUUAACACAUGCAAGUCGAACGGAGAAUUAAGAGCUUGCUUUUAAUUCUUAGUGGCGGACGGGUGAGUAACACGUGAGGAACCUGCCUCUGAGUGUGGGAUAGCUUCUGGAAACGGAUGGUAAUACCGCAUAACAUUGUUGAAUCGCAUGGUAUAACAAUCAAAGAUUUAUUGCUCAGAGAUGGUCUCGCGUCUGAUUAGAUAGUUGGUGAGGUAACGGCUCACCAAGUCGACGAUCAGUAGCCGGACUGAGAGGUUGGACGGCCACAUUGGGACUGAGACACGGCCCAGACUCCUACGGGAGGCAGCAGUGGGGAAUAUUGCACAAUGGGGGAAACCCUGAUGCAGCGAUGCCGCGUGGAGGAAGAAGGUUUUCGGAUUGUAAACUCCUGUCGUAAGGGACGAUAAUGACGGUACCUUACAAGAAAGCUCCGGCUAACUACGUGCCAGCAGCCGCGGUAAUACGUAGGGAGCGAGCGUUGUCCGGAAUUACUGGGUGUAAAGGGAGCGUAGGCGGGACGGCAAGUCAGAUGUGAAAUAUACGUGCUCAACAUGUAGACUGCAUUUGAAACUGUCGUUCUUGAGUGAGGUAGAGGUAAGCGGAAUUCCUGGUGUAGCGGUGAAAUGCGUAGAGAUCAGGAGGAACAUCGGUGGCGAAGGCGGCUUACUGGGCCUUUACUGACGCUGAGGCUCGAAAGCGUGGGGAGCAAACAGGAUUAGAUACCCUGGUAGUCCACGCCGUAAACGAUGAUUACUAGGUGUGGGGGGACUGACCCCUUCCGUGCCGCAGUUAACACAAUAAGUAAUCCACCUGGGGAGUACGACCGCAAGGUUGCAACUCAAAUGAAUUGACGGA
This 901-nucleotide ribosomal RNA is filed under the name uncultured Bacillota bacterium. Its description in RNAcentral is "bacterial SSU rRNA". It matches the Rfam family "Bacterial small subunit ribosomal RNA", at positions 1 to 917 of the family's 1533-position model. The record is from RNAcentral. Lineage: Bacteria; Bacillati; Bacillota.